This 466-nucleotide ribosomal RNA is filed under the name uncultured bacterium. Its description in RNAcentral is "partial 16S ribosomal RNA". It matches the Rfam family "Bacterial small subunit ribosomal RNA", at positions 29 to 507 of the family's 1533-position model. The record is from RNAcentral.
ACGAACGCUGGCGGCGUGCUUAACACAUGCAAGUCGAACGGAAAGGCCCUGCUUUUGUGGGGUGCUCGAGUGGCGAACGGGUGAGUAACACGUGAGUAACCUGCCCUUGACUUUGGGAUAACUUCAGGAAACUGGGGCUAAUACCGGAUAGGAGCUCCUGCUGCAUGGUGGGGGUUGGAAAGUUUCGGCGGUUGGGGAUGGACUCGCGGCUUAUCAGCUUGUUGGUGGGGUAGUGGCUUACCAAGGCUUUGACGGGUAGCCGGCCUGAGAGGGUGACCGGCAACAUGGGAACUGGGAUACGGCCCAGACUCCUACGGGAGGCAGCGGGGGGGAUUAUUGCACAAGGGGCGGAAGCCUGAUGCAGCAACGCCGCGUGCGGGAUGACGGCCUUCGGGUUGUAACCCGCUUUCGCCUGUGACGAAGCGUGAGUGACGGUAAUGGGUAAAAAGCACCGGCUAACUACGUG